Molecule: ribosomal RNA, 631 nt
Filed under: Mucor plumbeus
Lineage: Eukaryota; Fungi; Mucoromycota; Mucoromycetes; Mucorales; Mucoraceae
Description: eukaryotic LSU rRNA
Rfam family: 5.8S ribosomal RNA (bases 243-395)
Source: RNAcentral
CUUCCGUAAGGGGAACCUGCGGAAGGAUCAUUAAAUAAUCAAUAAUCUUGGCUUGUCCAUUAUUAUCUAUUUACUGUGAACUGUAUUAUUAUUUGACGUUUGAGGGAUGUUCCAAUGUUAUAAGGAUAGACAUUGGAGAUGUUAACCGAGUCAUAAUCAGGUUUAGGCCUGGUAUCCUAUUAUUAUUUACCAAAUGAAUUCAGAAUUAAUAUUGUAACAUAGACCUAAAAAAUCUAUAAAACAACUUUUAACAACGGAUCUCUUGGUUCUCGCAUCGAUGAAGAACGUAGCAAAGUGCGAUAACUAGUGUGAAUUGCAUAUUCAGUGAAUCAUCGAGUCUUUGAACGCAACUUGCGCUCAUUGGUAUUCCAAUGAGCACGCCUGUUUCAGUAUCAAAACAAACCCUCUAUCCAACUUUUGUUGUAUAGGAUUAUUGGGGGCCUCUCGAUCUGUAAAGAUCUUGAAACCCUUGAAAUUUACUAAGGCCUGAACUUGUUUAAUGCCUGAACUUUUUUUUAAUAUAAAGGAAAGCUCUUGUAAUUGACUUUGAUGGGGCCUCCCAAAUAAAUCUUUUUUAAAUUUGAUCUGAAAUCAGGUGGGAUUACCCGCUGAACUUAAGCAUAUCAAUAAG